UCAUAUGCUUGUCUCAAAGAUAAGCCAUGCAUGUCUAAGUAUAAGCAAUCUAUACGGUGAAACUGCGAAUGGCUCAUAAAUCAGUUAUCGUUUAUUGAUAGUACCUUACUACAUGGAUACCUGUGGUAAUUCUAGAGCUAAUACAUGCUAAAAACCUCGACUUCGGAAGGGGUGUAUUUAUUAGAUAAAAAACCAAUGCCCUUCGGGGCUCCUUGGUGAAUCAUAAUAACUUAACGAAUCGCAUGGCCUUGCGCCGGCGAUGGUUCAUUCAAAUUUCUGCCCUAUCAACUUUCGAUGGUAGGAUAGUGGCCUACCAUGGUGGCAACGGGUAACGGGGAAUUAGGGUUCGAUUCCGGAGAGGGAGCCUGAGAAACGGCUACCACAUCCAAGGAAGGCAGCAGGCGCGCAAAUUACCCAAUCCCGAUACGGGGAGGUAGUGACAAUAAAUACUGAUACGGGGCUCUUUUGGGUCUCGUAAUUGGAAUGAGUACAAUUUAAAUACCUUAACGAGGAACAAUUGGAGGGCAAGUCUGGUGCCAGCAGCCGCGGUAAUUCCAGCUCCAAUAGCGUAUAUUAAAGUUGUUGCAGUUAAAAAGCUCGUAGUUGAACCUUGGGUCUGGCUGGCCGGUCCGCCUCACCGCGAGUACUGGUCCGGCUGGACCUUUCCUUCUGGGGAACCUCAUGGCCUUCACUGGCUGUGGGGGGAACCAGGACUUUUACUGUGAAAAAAUUAGAGUGUUCAAAGCAGGCCUUUGCUCGAAUACAUUAGCAUGGAAUAAUAGAAUAGGACGUGCGGUUCUAUUUUGUUGGUUUCUAGGACCGCCGUAAUGAUUAAUAGGGAUAGUCGGGGGCGUCAGUAUUCAGCUGUCAGAGGUGAAAUUCUUGGAUUUGCUGAAGACUAACUACUGCGAAAGCAUUCGCCAAGGAUGUUUUCAUUAAUCAGGGAACGAAAGUUAGGGGAUCGAAGACGAUCAGAUACCGUCGUAGUCUUAACCAUAAACUAUGCCGACUAGGGAUCGGGC
Molecule: ribosomal RNA, 1022 nt
Filed under: Aspergillus clavatus NRRL 1
Lineage: Eukaryota; Fungi; Ascomycota; Eurotiomycetes; Eurotiales; Aspergillaceae
Description: SSU rRNA
Rfam family: Eukaryotic small subunit ribosomal RNA
Source: RNAcentral